Long non-coding RNA from Sinocyclocheilus grahami, 3155 nucleotides. The record is from Ensembl. Lineage: Eukaryota; Metazoa; Chordata; Actinopteri; Cypriniformes; Cyprinidae.
CUGAGUGUGUGUGUGUGUCUGUGUGUGUGUGUCUGUCUGUCUGUCUGUCUGUCUGUCUGUCUGUGAGUGAGUGUGUGUGUGUGUCUGUGAGUGUGUGUGUCUGUCUGUCUGUCUGUCUGUGAGUGUGUCUGUCUGUCUGUGAGUGAGUGUGUGUGUGUAUGUGUGUCUGUGAGUGUGUAUGUGUGUCUGAGUGUGUGUGUGUGUCUGUGUGUGUGUGUCUGUCUGUCUGUCUGUCUGUGAGUGUGUCUGUGUGUCUGUGUGUGUGUGUGUGUGUCUGUGUGUGUGUGAGUGUGUGUGUGUGUGUCUGUGAGUGUGUGUGUCUGUCUGUCUGUCUGUCUGUGAGUGUGUCUGUCUGUCUGUGAGUGAGUGUGUGUGUGUGUGUGUGUCUGUGUGUGUGUGUGUGUGUCUGAGUGUGUGUGUGUCUGUGUGUGUGUGUCUGUCUGUCUGUCUGUCUGUCUGUGAGUGAGUGUGUGUCUGUGUCUGUCUGUGAGUGUGUGUGUCUGUGUCGGUCUGUGAGUGUGUGUGUGUCUGUGAGUGUGUGUGUGUCUGUGUCUGUCUGUGAGUGUGUGUGUCUGUGUGUCUGUGAGUGUGUGAAUGUGUGUCUGUGAGUGUGUGUCUGUGAGUGUGUGUGUGGGUCUGUGAAUGUGUUUGAAUGUGUGUGUGUGUGUGUGUGUGUCUGUGUCUGUCUGUGAGUGUGUGUGUCUGUGUCGGUCUGUGAGUGUGUGUGUGUCUGUGAGUGUGUGUGUGUGUGUGUGGGUCUGUGAAUGUGUUUGAAUGUGUGUGUGUGUGUGUGAGUGAGUGAAUGUGUGUGUGUGCUGUGUUCCGUUCCGUUGUUUUGACUGUGCUGGUGUUUGUUCAGCUGCAGGACCCGCUGAGGUCGGCUCAUCGCUCCAGCCGUCAGUGUCACAGAUGAUGAGCGAUGAUGCUCUGACUGACGACCCACAGGAUGAUGCAUCUGAUCUGUUUCUUCCUCUGCCUUCUGACGUCACCACCAAUGAGACGGCAGACUGUUCGACGGCUCUCUGCGUCCCGCUGGAAGCAGAACCGUGUGGAGCACAUGAUGCUGAAGCCUCUGACUGGCUGGAGUCCACAGAUCAGUCCCUAACAUCCCUGCAGCAUCUCAGAGUCGACACGCUGCUUCAGUCUCAGCCAGACAUGCAGAUAUCUAUGGAUGCGCUCUCUUUUACCCACGAGUCCCUCUGUGACACCGAUGCUGUGGCUCCACCCACUGCCGCAGACGUGAGCCCUCUCAAGCCCGCUCUACAGGAAGAUGCACCACAGGAAGUGAGCUCGGAGCCGCCGCCGCACCUGACUGAGCUCUUAGAGCGAGCACAGGCGGCGGGUGACGUGAAGGGCAUCCUGGAGGAAUCCACCAUCUCCUUCAUCAGUCUGCCAGAGUCAACACUACAGGAUCCUGAGCUCACCCUCACACAGACGCCAGACACAGGAAGUGCUGCACAGGAAGUGGGCGAAUCACAGAGCCGUUCGGACGACAGCCAAUCAGAGCGGCCAGAGGCGGCGUUCCCUCAUGCUGUGAUGCUGCUGGAGUUUCAGAGCUCGUCUGCUCCGCAGCAGCGCCGGCAGGAUCGUCUCGCUCAGAGGUCAGCGCUCAGAGCCGCCCAGAUCAAAGCCAGAAAAACCACAGCGGUCCAGAAAGUGUCCAGAGCCACAGGACGCACAGAUCCUAAACCACACACAGCUGACAGACUGAAGAGCGUGGCUGAGGUGCGGAUCUGCUCUGAUGAACACAGACGCUGUGAGGAGGCUACGAUGUACCGCCGCACACACAGAUUGUACAGUCAGUUAGAGGAAGUUAAACAGAAGAAGGAGCUGCGGAGCCGUCAGGAAUCGUACGCUAAGAACCGGGAGAAGGCCAGAGACUUCCAGAGGAAGACGCUGGAGAAACUGAGGGCCAAACUGAACCGCUGACGUGCUUGGAGAUUCAUCGCUGCUGUUUGUUAUUGGUCUCAAUCAGAUUUUAAAGCAAUUUUAUUUGUGUCUGUAUGUUGUGUAUUUUAAGUAAAAUGCUGUUUUAAUUUAAUUGAGUCAUCAGUGUGAUUGUGAAUAAUAAUAAUACACUACUUUCUUUUCCUGUUGGUCUCUGGAAUUACCGGUCUGCAGUAAACAAAGCAGAUGUCAUUCAAGACUAAGCCUCAUGGCCCUGACAGAGACCUGGAUCAACCCAGAGGACACUGCUGCUGCUUGUAGUGCUCUCGGUGUUCGAUGGCCUCACACGGGCCGCCACUAAAUGUAGUGGUUUUAAAUCUCUUUGGGCUUAAAUAUUAAUCGGGGGUCGAGCACCACAUUUUUUUGAAAAACCUACUUUUCCGAGCUCGUCCUAGACGGUUUGUCUGAUUUUCACACAAUGUGGCUCGGAUCAUCUUCAGACCAUGCUGGCACAAAGUUGAGGACUUCAAGUUGAUUAGUCAAACCGUUUUCGAAUAAUGUGCGAAAGAAUUCAACGAAGAACAUGAGGCUAUAUCUCCGCAACGCUUUAACGUAUUGAGGCCAAACUUGGUGUGUGUUAUAAUAACCAUGACCUGAGGCCACCUAGGGGUCAGGAGAUAUAAAAACAUUAUAUUUUUGCUUAACUUCAGAAAAAAUUGCAAAACUGGUCUCUAGAUUCGAUGGCCAUGUCGGACAUUUUGAAUUUUGACCUAAAAUGCUAUAUUUUACGAACGCAUUAGCCUAUCGUUAUGAAACUCUGAAUGUGUUCGGCACCAUGCCCUGAUGGUACUCUCCUCCACAUCAUCUUUCAACGUAACCUACGCUCACUCUUCAUCUUCNNNNNNNNNNCACAACUCUCCACACUACAAUCUGUCAAGCACAUCUUACCAGCAAACAUACACGCUUUCACAUCCUUCUCUCCACUCUCCGAGACAAACUCAUCCUUUCUAAUCAUCCUACUGCUUGUCUAGUUCAAGCCAGUUCUUCUUCAGUUGUACCUGCACUCAUUAACACAUCCCUUCACACUGGUGUCUUUCCCUCAGCAUUAAAACGGGCUCGAUAACCUCACUACUUCAGUGGCCCAAAAGAUCACAAGUUCAGAGAAUUUAAUCAAACAAAUGAGACAAAAAUAUAUACUCCUAGUCCAUCUGUUCAGAGGUGUUUUCAAUCCGUGAGAUGGCUAUCAGCCGUCAGUGUCUGCCCUGUUU